CGUAGGAGACAAACGUUAUCCGGAGUUACUGGGCGUAAAGGGCGUGUAGGUGGUUUCGUAAGUCUGGCGUGAAAUUUUUCGGCUUAACCGGGAAAGGUCGUCGGAUACUGCGGAACUAGAGGACGGUAGAGGCGUGUGGAAUUCCGGGUGUAGUGGUGAAAUGCGUAGAGAUCCGGAGGAACACCAGUGGCGAAGGCGACACGCUGGGCCGUACCUGACACUGAUGCGCGACAGCAUGGGGAGCAAACAGGAUUAGAAACCCUGGUAGUCCAUGCCGUAAACGAUGCUAGCUGGGUGUUCAGGGGGGGAAACCCCUCGGGGUACCGAAGUCAACACGGUAAGCUAGCCGCCUGGGGAGUACGGUCGCAAGAUUA
Molecule: ribosomal RNA, 374 nt
Filed under: uncultured organism
Description: bacterial SSU rRNA
Rfam family: Bacterial small subunit ribosomal RNA
Source: RNAcentral